UCCCGGUUGGUGUAACUGGCAGCACUGCGGACUUUGACUCCGUCAACCCAGGUUCGAACCCUGGACCGGGAG
RNAcentral lists this transfer RNA (72 nucleotides) under Actinocrispum wychmicini. It matches the Rfam family "tRNA". From Rfam's summary of the family: Transfer RNA (tRNA) molecules are approximately 80 nucleotides in length. Their secondary structure includes four short double-helical elements and three loops (D, anti-codon, and T loops). The record is from Rfam by way of RNAcentral. Lineage: Bacteria; Bacillati; Actinomycetota; Actinomycetes; Pseudonocardiales; Pseudonocardiaceae.